RNAcentral lists this ribosomal RNA (253 nucleotides) under uncultured bacterium. Its description in RNAcentral is "partial 16S ribosomal RNA". It matches the Rfam family "Bacterial small subunit ribosomal RNA", at positions 524 to 776 of the family's 1533-position model. The record is from RNAcentral.
UACGAAGGGGGCUAGCGUUGCUCGGAAUUACUGGGCGUAAAGCGCACGUAGGCGGCUUUGUAAGUUAGAGGUGAAAGCCCGGAGCUCAACUCCGGAAUUGCCUUUAAGACUGCAUCGCUAGAACGUCGGAGAGGUGAGUGGAAUUCCGAGUGUAGAGGUGAAAUUCGUAGAUAUUCGGAAGAACACCAGUGGCGAAGGCGACUCACUGGACGACUGUUGACGCUGAGGUGCGAAAGCGUGGGGAGCAAACAGG